CUUGAGCGGGUUAAGGGAUGGCAGGUAGCUGGUAAAACAUUAUUUCUAGUUCUGGAGGCUGGGAAGUACAAUAUAAAGAUUCUGGAAGAUGUGGAGUCUGGUGAAGGACGUUGCAGUCUACCUGCAUUGAGUGAACAUGGAUUUGGUAAACAAGUAUCAGCAGGCAGGACAAUAUAGCGCCACUGAAAGGAAGGUCGAGCUGCUGAACCUCCACAGUACCAUACAGAAGGGAAGAUUCCUAGGACUUGUGGCUUAAUUUCUCUGGCUACCGCACUAAUCGCACGCAUCCCGUAAUUACUGUCUUUCUUUCUUCCUCCAGACUGUCAUUCUUCUGUCUCUUAGCUCCAUCCCACAGGCAGACAGUGUCUAUACAAAGGCUGAGCUAGUUAGCCAGCCACCUGAGGGAACGCCGUGCCUCCGCCAUGCUCCCCCGUGCCUUUUUUCCCUCUUUUUUCCCCUUCACUUGUCACUCCUCCCAGCUUCCUUACAAAGAAUAUUUAAUUUGCAUUCUUUCCCAGCUAAA
This is a long non-coding RNA of Mustela erminea (ermine), 523 nucleotides long. RefSeq lists it as uncharacterized. Lineage: Eukaryota; Metazoa; Chordata; Mammalia; Carnivora; Mustelidae. The record is from RefSeq and is a predicted model, not a curated record. The transcript has 5 exons.